GUAGUUUGAUCUUGGCUCAGAUUGAACGCUGGCGGCACGCUUAACACAUGCAAGUCGGACGGCAGCACGGGUGCUUGCACCUGGUGGCGAGUGGCGGACGGGUGAGUAAUGCUUAGGGAUCUGGCGGCGAAGCGGGGGACAACACGGGGAAACUCGUGCUAAUACCGCAUAAGCUCUGAGGAGUAAAGAUGGCCUCUUAUUUAUAAGCUAUCGCUUUGCGAUGAACCUAAGUCGGAUUAGCUAGUUGUGGGGUAAAGGCCUACCAAGGCGACGAUCCGUAGCUGGUCUGAGAGGACGAUCA
This 301-nucleotide ribosomal RNA is filed under the name uncultured microorganism. RNAcentral describes it as "bacterial SSU rRNA". It matches the Rfam family "Bacterial small subunit ribosomal RNA", at positions 9 to 306 of the family's 1533-position model. The record is from RNAcentral.